Molecule: non-coding RNA, 2156 nt
Organism: Pelodiscus sinensis (Chinese soft-shelled turtle)
Lineage: Eukaryota; Metazoa; Chordata; Testudines; Trionychidae
Source: RefSeq, a predicted model, not a curated record
CUUGGGAGCUGCUCCUUCCAAUUGCCCUGUGCUCCCAUGUCUCUGAAUGACCCCCAGUGUGGGUCACGAGUAGGCUGAGAUUCCCAACUGGGCUGCCAUCCUGGCAUUGGUGCAGUGGAUGUUGUGGGACUUCCCGGAGCUGCUCUUGCUCAUGGUAUUGCUGUUUUCCCCCUCCCUGAAUCCAUGGAGUCGGCUAGCCCCGGGGACUGCCCCACUUUGGUCCAGGUCUAGUAGCUGGGGGUAGAGGGUGGGGAGAGGAGGAAGGGAGGCACAGGGAACCUUUCAAAUGAAAGAAACCACGCAGAUCAUUUUAAAUGGUAAGUAUUUGUCAGGAUUUUAUUUACCAGGUUCAGAUGGGUGUAAUUUCUCCUUCCAAACACCCUCCCUCUCCCGCGUGGAGGUUGGGGGUGAGGGGAGGAGUUGCAGAGAACCCCCCCGUCUCGGAUUGCUGGAAAGCUGUGCUGCCUGCAGCCUGUUACUACAGAAUCAGUGCAUUCAACUCUGAACCUGACUGCAGCUCUUCUCUCUCGUGUGCAGGACAGUGCAACACUCUCCUGGAAGGAGAGGGAGGGAGAACGUGCUUUGUAGUAUGCACUGUAAUUCUAACACUCUUUAAGGAUGUAAUGCUGAUAAUCUGCUCAGUUCCCAGGAAGCUGGGAGGAAUUCCGGGGCUGCUGUCCAGUAGAUCUGCUGCAGUAACACAAUUGCCUUUUUUGUUAAAGAGAUGAAGAUGCUGAACGUUUUGGUUUUUUUGCCAAGGGUAAAAGCAAAUCUCAGUUGCAAGUGGCUUUGCUAAAACUUGAUCACGGCGGAUUUUAAGCAAUAAGGAGCAGCUGGGUUUCUAUUUACUGCGGUGGGAGCAAGUUGUAGGAUGAAAUCCAGGGAUUAAAAGACCUAUUUUCCACUUUGUUCUUUACAAGGGAAUCUACUGAAAUGACUUUGAGGAUCUUAAGCUUGGAACUAUGUGGCGGGAGAAUGCACCCCCCUUCGCCUCGCUUCCUGCGUGGGUAGCUGCCGCCCUGGGAUGCGAUGCGGAAAGCAGGCUGCGGCCAGGCUCCUGUAUUUGGGACGAGGGAUGGCAGCAGCCCCGGCCCCUUGGUGCUGAGGGUUACGAAAUGCCAAACUUCGCCGCGUGCCAAAUAGCAGCAACUACGUUUUCGGGCAUCCUCGGGGAUAAAGGUGGCAAAGAUGGGGAAAAUUGGCUGUGCUCUGCUGGUACUCCAAGCUCUUCUGGUGCAAUUGGAUCUUGUUCAUGGAGUGGAGAAAAGUUAUCCCAUACUCAACAUUGCAGUAAUUCUGGAGAGGACCAAGCAUGUCACAGAACGAGACAUCCGAGCUCUCUGGAGCAGGGAAAUGUCAGCAGACCUGGCCAUUGAUGUUAAUGUAGUGACCCUUUUGGUGAACCAGACUGACCCCAAAAGCAUUAUAACACAUGUUUGUGACUUGAUGUCAGGCACCAAGAUCCAUGGGGUAGUUUUUGGAGACGAUACUGAUCAAGAGGCAAUAGCUCAGAUUUUGGAUUUUAUUUCAUCUCAGACUUUUAUUCCAAUUCUGGGGAUUCAUGGCGGCUCCUCCAUGAUCAUGGCUGAUAAGGUAGGAAUUUUUAAAAAUUAUUUAAAGCUUUUGUUGCACCAGUGUACCUUCAUUGUGCAUACUAACUUCAGAAUAUGUGCUCUGCAAGCAGCUCAAAGGAGGAUGCCUCUAACAGCCUAUAUUCUGAACUUUAAAACAACAUUAUCCUGCAGUUUUGUACUGAAUUACCACCCAAUCUCUGUAAGAUUUUUUUGUGGGGUUUAUGUCUGCAAUUUGUUUGUUUACAUAAAGAAUGUUCUUACUGACAGUUUAGUUACCCCUAAGCUAGAUUCUGAUCAUUUUAGUCAUGUUAUAUUGAUGAUGACCCCAAAGAUUGAUGGCUUAUUUAACCUAAUUGUAACAAUAAAAUGUUUUGUCCUAUUUUUCAUCUUAAAAGAAAGGCAUAAUAUUAUUGGCAACACUAGAAAGAAGUGCCACACUGGGAAAGAUCACAUGCAAUACACUUGAAUGGAUUUGAUGAGGGUAGUGGUAAUAGAGAACUUAGAGGUUUUUGGUAAAUACUGUACACAGAUAUUCAGUUUAGACUUGAUUUUUCCCCCAUUAAUAGUUUACUGGGAAUUGAC